Pelobates cultripes (western spadefoot toad) is the source of this 1116-nucleotide non-coding RNA. The record is from the annotation of a GenBank genome assembly. NCBI's taxonomy places the organism in Eukaryota, Metazoa, Chordata, Amphibia, Anura, Pelobatidae.
UGAGUUAGCAAUGCAAUUCAAUUUAUUAGUUAUAAAUAAAGUACAAAAAAUCCACGAAAUGUGAAUCUAAGCAGUUACACAAUUUCUAAUGUCUCAGUUCAUCUUUAAUGCACUAUUGCUUUCAUAUUGAUAAUAAAUAUUCUAGCUUUUUUUCUAUAAAAUAGUCUAUAUGUAGCAAAAUGUUGCACAGCACAACGGAACAGCAGUAGGAUUACGAAACCGAGAAUGACCCUUUCUCUAUCCCACGUUAUUAAACAACUUUAUAUUCUGGCUCAUUGGUGGGAGUUUUUUUUUUAGUUAUUUACUAUUUUAAUUUCUUUAUUUUUUUUGCUUAAAGAAAAUUUGGCAUUUAUGCAUUAAUUGCUAUAAAAAAAAUGGUCAAUCUGUACAAUAAACUCAAAACCCACUUACAGAUAUUAAUCCCACAACUCAUGAAUCGAGAUUAGUAGAUAUGUAGACAGACAGACAUACAAACAGACAGACACACGUACACGUAAACAUAGACUAUAUUACAAUGUAGCAGUGUAAAACAUGGUGGGAGAUUUAUCAAAGUGUUAGCAGAAGCAUAGGUCUAAAAGUGGGGCAAUCUCCAUGGAAACCAAUGUUCCUGCUGAUUGCAAUAGUUUCCACGGUGAUUGCUCCACUUAUUCAUAACAAUCUCUUCCAAUGCAUAAGUUACAGAGUCACGUAUAUUAUAUUAUAUUUGCUGGUAUAUGUUUUAUAUACAUAUAUAUAUAUAUAUAAUACACCAGUCUGUUGCAGGAUGCAAUGAUACCUUUAACUAGCUUAUUGACUCCCCUCUGUUUAUUUACUUUUUCUGGCUAUUCUCAGCCAACCUGCACCUUUCACUUUCAGGCACAUCUUCUGCUAUUUAUGACACCCCACUCACCCCUCUCUCUCCCCUUCUCUAACAUCAGUUGUUUUAAUUGUUAACCGCUAUCAGAUUGAUCAGUAUUGCUUCAGAUCUGAGGAAGAGAGGAAAACUCUGGAAAGCUUGUCUGUGAAAUAUUAUGUUAGUCCAAUAAAAAAGGUAUCUGGUAUUUUGGCAUCUCGUCUACUGGACUAAUAUGGCUAAUCCAAUCUACACUAUAUAUAUAUAUAUAUAUAUAUAUAUAU